UUGCCGUGGCCUGUCAAGUGAAUUGGUUUUGUUUUGUAUGUUUUUCUAGGGUUUUUGAGACAGCGAGAGAGCCCUUGCCGUGGCCUGUCAAGUGAAUUGGUUUUGUUUUGUAUGUUUUUCUAGGGUUUUUGAGGCCUGUGCCGCUGCUGCCGGUUUGCGAUCCAAAUCGGAGGUGCUGUGUCAAUGCUGGUGUCUUUGCUUCUGAGAACCCCAUCGCAAGUUGUUAUUUGUCAUUCUUCUUUCAUAACUUUGGUAUUCUCAUGCAGGAUGUGUCUCCGCUUUUGGCUCUUCAUCGCGUUACUGUGAGGAGUUCCAUCAAAUCAAGGUAUUUGUAGUCCAUAGAAUUUGUAUGGUCUUCAUUUUUACUCCACUGUGAGGAAAUGGGAUGAGGUGAUUUAAACUCUUAAACGCUUUGAAGCACAUUCUCUCGGCACAGCCUUGCUCACCUGGACGUGAAGCUUGACAACAUCUACAUUUGCAAUUGCAUCUACAAGAUUCACUCCAAGACCGUGCUGCCGAGGUAGAUGUGACAACCACAAAGUUACUACUGCUCGAUGAGCAAGACAGGAAGCUAAACAGCACCGCUUCCACGACCAACCUCAAUGGAGUUCACGUUAGCUUGGACUCCCCCGAGGCUCCUGGAAAGUCCACGAAUCAUGGAGC
This 663-nucleotide long non-coding RNA is filed under the name Selaginella moellendorffii. Its description in RNAcentral is "long non-coding RNA (SMOE_LNC000101)". Lineage: Eukaryota; Viridiplantae; Streptophyta; Lycopodiopsida; Selaginellales; Selaginellaceae. The record is from RNAcentral.